RNAcentral lists this transfer RNA (65 nucleotides) under Aquarana catesbeiana (American bullfrog). Its description in RNAcentral is "Lithobates catesbeianus (American bullfrog) tRNA-Cys". RNAcentral also lists the same sequence under 1 other name. Lineage: Eukaryota; Metazoa; Chordata; Amphibia; Anura; Ranidae. The record is from RNAcentral.
GGCCUUGGGGUGUCAACACGUGGGGUUGCAAACCCCAAGACGCAGUAUAAUACCUGCCGGGGCUU